This 460-nucleotide ribosomal RNA is filed under the name uncultured bacterium. Its description in RNAcentral is "partial 16S ribosomal RNA". It matches the Rfam family "Bacterial small subunit ribosomal RNA", at positions 338 to 795 of the family's 1533-position model. The record is from RNAcentral.
CCUACGGGUGGCAGCAGUGAGGAAUAUUGGUCAAUGGACGAAAGCCUGAACCAGCCAAGUAGCGUGAAGGAUGAAGGUCCUAUGGGUUGUAAACUUCUUUUAUAAGGGAAUAAAACGAGGCACGUGUGCCUUUUUGCAUGUACUUUAUGAAUAAGGAUCGGCUAACUCCGUGCCAGCAGCCGCGGUAAUACGGAGGAUCCGAGCGUUAUCCGGAUUUAUUGGGUUUAAAGGGAGCGUAGAUGGGUUUUUAAGUCAGGUGUGAAAGUUUGCGGCUCAACCGUAAAAUUGCCUUUGAUACUGGCAGUCUUGAGUAGGAUUGAGGUAAGCGGAAUUCGUGGUGUAGCGGUGAAAUGCUUAGAUAUCACGAAGAACCCCGAUUGCGAAGGCAGCUUACUAAGCUGUGACUGACGCUGAUGCACGAAAGCGUGGGGAGCAAACAGGAUUAGAUACCCUUGUAGUC